This 211-nucleotide ribosomal RNA is filed under the name uncultured bacterium. Its description in RNAcentral is "partial 16S ribosomal RNA". It matches the Rfam family "Bacterial small subunit ribosomal RNA", at positions 1290 to 1500 of the family's 1533-position model. The record is from RNAcentral.
AGUUCGGACUGCAGUCUGCAACUCGACUGCACGAAGUCGGAAUUGCUAGUAAUCGCGGAUCAGCAUGCCGCGGUGAAUACGUUCCCGGGCCUUGUACACACCGCCCGUCACACCAUGAGAGUCGGGAACACCCGAAGUCCGUAGUCUAACCGCAAGGAGGACGCGGCCGAAGGUGGGCUUGAUAAUUGGGGUGAAGUCGUAACAAGGUAGC